UACGGGGGGGGCAAGCGUUGUUCGGAAUUACUGGGCGUAAAGGGUUCGUAGGUGGCCAACUAAGUCAGACGUGAAAUCCCUCAGCUCAACUGGGGAACUGCGUCUGAUACUGAUUGGCUUGAGUGCAGGAGAGGAACGCGGAAUUCCAGGUGUAGCGGUGAAAUGCGUAGAUAUCAGGAGGAACACCAGUGGCGAAGGCGGUGCUCUGGGCCGGAACUGACGCUGAGGAGCGAAAGCGUGGGGAGCAAACAGG
This 253-nucleotide ribosomal RNA is filed under the name uncultured bacterium. RNAcentral describes it as "partial 16S ribosomal RNA". It matches the Rfam family "Bacterial small subunit ribosomal RNA", at positions 524 to 776 of the family's 1533-position model. The record is from RNAcentral.